GACGAACGCUGGCGGCGUGCUUAACACAUGCAAGCCGAACGGAAAGGCCCUGCUUUUGUGGGGUGCUCGAGUGGCGAACGGGUGAGUAACACGUGAGUAACCUGCCCUUGACUUUGGGAUAACUUCAGGAAACUGGGGCUAAUACCGGAUAGGAGCUCCUGCUGCAUGGUGGGGGUUGGAAAGUUUCGGCGGUUGGGGAUGGACUCGCGGCUUAUCAGCUUGUUGGUGGGGUAGUGGCUUACCAAGGCUUUGACGGGUAGCCGGCCUGAGAGGGUGACCGGCCACAUUGGGACUGAGAUACGGCCCAGACUCCUACGGGAGGCAGCAGUGGGGAAUAUUGCACAAUGGGCGGAAGCCUGAUGCAGCAACGCCGCGUGCGGGAUGACGGCCUUCGGGUUGUAAACCGCUUUCGCCUGUGACGAAGCGUGAGUGACGGUAACGGGUAAAGAAGCACCGGCUAACUACGUG
RNAcentral lists this ribosomal RNA (468 nucleotides) under uncultured bacterium. RNAcentral describes it as "partial 16S ribosomal RNA". It matches the Rfam family "Bacterial small subunit ribosomal RNA", at positions 28 to 507 of the family's 1533-position model. The record is from RNAcentral.